This is a long non-coding RNA of Cyprinus carpio carpio, 1307 nucleotides long. The record is from Ensembl. NCBI's taxonomy places the organism in Eukaryota, Metazoa, Chordata, Actinopteri, Cypriniformes, Cyprinidae.
AACGCUACCAAACAAGAUUAUUUGAGUAGGUUUUACACGAAAAUACCAUUUCAGUCUUACUACUUCAAAAUGUUCAGUUCAGUAUAUUAGUUGCCUUUUCUUUGUAAUUAUUUGUAGAAUUUAAUAGCAAUUUCUGAAUGAAAAGCUGUGUUUUCAGCACCAUGGACAGCGGUUAUUGCUGUCAAGUCUACAUCUUCCUUUCAGACCUGAAUGCAUUUAAAUUAAUUUAAGCAGUCUAGCAUUGGGCUACCAGUAAAAGUCACUAAUAUCAAGUAAUAUAUGGAGAAUAAAACAAUAAUAAUAAAAAAAAGCUUUUAGGAAAUGGAACAACUUUCAAGGGGUUCAAGCCAGCAUCUACGUCACUGACCCAGCAGCGAAGCUCACGGGAAUCAAUGUUCCCGAGAACAUUCUGCUUGGGCAAACCACUGCCCUUCUACUAAAAUAACCCGGUUAUGCAUCAGAUUCAUGGCCAUAAUCAUUAAUCAUAUUAAAGCAAUAUCUUAUCUAGAUUCAUUUUAUGUGAUUAUUAAAAUUUAUUUGAGUUCUGCUGUGUUUUUUGUAACACUUCUCUUUAAUUGCAGUAGCUGUUCUGUCUCUCCAUGUGAACUGACUUCACCUCGGUCUUGCCCAGCUUGGCUAUUAUACAAUUUCCUGUGGAACAAGGAGAGGCAGUUUCAAUUAGGAUCGGGUGACAGAAUAUUGUUUAAUGUACUGUAUAAUUGAUGAAAGUCAUACAUUUUCUUUUUACCGGUUGCAGUGCCAUCUGGGACAGCUGGGCAGGUGUUUUAGUGAAUUCAGUGAGUAAUUAAUACAUAUCAAACUGGCAGAGAUGUCUUGUCUAAAUGUAUGUUAAUCUGCAACAAUUUUUAGUAGUGUGCAAUAGAACAUGGCCCAAAUGCUAAAAAAUAUCCAAUUUUAGCAGUCACACAUCGCCCUCUUGAGGAGAGAGUUUAUAGUUGCGGAAAACAAUCUGUGGGCCAGUGUUGUGCUUGGUACCAUUAAAUGUAAUAGAAAGAAAUUAUAUUCAGAAAUGUUUCUAUGAAAAUUUAAGUAAAUAAAAUCUCAACAUCCAAAGACAAUGUCCCCUGUAUUGGUUUUAAUAUUUUAAAAUUAUGCCAGUUUUGAUUAAUUAAACAUUUGUAGCCAGGGUUAUCUACAUUUUAAAGCAUUUUUGGGGUCCAAGUUAAAAAAAAAAGAAAGAAAAAAAAGAUAGCAUCUAAUCCCUGUUGAUCAUUAAAAUUUUUUUUUUUCAUUUAGAAGGCAACAAUUGAUUUUAAAAAUAUUUUCUCUGUUCUUCUGCAUUUUUA